GUGUAGUUCGGCUAGUGGUUGAUGCCGCCAGAUUGUGAUUCUGGUACAUAAGAAACGCAUGGGUUCGAAUCCCAUACUACACCC
RNAcentral lists this transfer RNA (84 nucleotides) under Caudoviricetes sp. RNAcentral describes it as "tRNA-His". It matches the Rfam family "tRNA". Rfam says of the family: Transfer RNA (tRNA) molecules are approximately 80 nucleotides in length. Their secondary structure includes four short double-helical elements and three loops (D, anti-codon, and T loops). Further hydrogen bonds mediate the characteristic L-shaped molecular structure. tRNAs have two regions of fundamental functional importance: the anti-codon, which is responsible for specific mRNA codon recognition, and the 3' end, to which the tRNAs corresponding amino acid is attached (by aminoacyl-tRNA synthetases). tRNAs cope with the degeneracy of the genetic code in two manners: having more than one tRNA (with a specific anti-codon) for a particular amino acid; and 'wobble' base-pairing, i.e. permitting non-standard base-pairing at the 3rd anti-codon position. Lineage: Duplodnaviria; Heunggongvirae; Uroviricota; Caudoviricetes. The record is from RNAcentral.